This 253-nucleotide ribosomal RNA is filed under the name uncultured bacterium. Its description in RNAcentral is "partial 16S ribosomal RNA". It matches the Rfam family "Bacterial small subunit ribosomal RNA", at positions 524 to 776 of the family's 1533-position model. The record is from RNAcentral.
UACAGAGGUCCCAAGCGUUGUUCGGAUUCAUUGGGCGUAAAGGGUGCGUAGGUGGCGCCGUAAGUCGGGUGUGAAAUUUCGGAGCUUAACUCCGAAACUGCAUUCGAUACUGCCGUGCUUGAGGACUGGAGAGGAGACUGGAAUUUACGGUGUAGCGGUGAAAUGCGUAGAUAUCGUAAGGAAGACCAGUGGCGAAGGCGGGUCUCUGGACAGUUCCUGACGCUGAUGCACGAAAGCGUGGGGAGCAAACAGG